CGCUGGCGGCACGCCUUAUACAUGCAAGUCGAACGAAGUAGUAAUACUUAGUGGCAGACGGGUGAGUAACAUGUAGGUAUCUUCCCUUUGGUGAGGAAUAACACGAGGAAACUUGUGCUAAUACCUCAUAAGUCUUUACGGAGAAAGCUUUAUGCGCCGAAGGAUGAGCCUGCACUUGAUUAGUUUGUUGGUGGGGUAAAGGCCUACCAAGACUGUGAUCUAUAGCUGAUCUGAGAGGAUGAUCAGCCACAUUGGGACUGAGACACGGCCCAAACUCCUACGGGAGGCAGCAGUAGGGAAUAUUGCACAAUGGAGGAAACUCUGAUGCAGCGAUGCCGCGUGAGUGAAGAAGGCCUUUGGGUUGUAAAGCUCUUUCGUCGGGGAAGAAAAUGACUGUACCCGAAUAAGAAGGUCCGGCUAACUUCGUGCCAGCAGCCGCGGUAAUACGAAGGGACCUAGCGUAGUUCGGAAUUACUGGGCUUAAAGAGUUCGUAGGUGGUUAAAAAAGUUGGUGGUGAAAUCCCAGAGCUUAACUCUGGAACUGCCAUCAAAACUUUUUAGCUAGAGUAUGAUAGAGGAAAGUAGAAUUUCUAGUGUAGAGGUGAAAUUCGUAGAUAUUAGAAAGAAUACCAAUUGCGAAGGCAGCUUUCUGGAUCAUUACUGACGCUGAGGAACGAAAGCAUGGGUAGCGAAGAGGAUUAGAUACCCUCGUAGUCCAUGCCGUAAACGAUGUGUGUUAGACGUUGGAAAUUUAUUUUCAGUGUCGCAGCGAAAGCAUUAAACACACCGCCUGGGG
Molecule: ribosomal RNA, 796 nt
Filed under: uncultured Pelagibacteraceae bacterium
Lineage: Bacteria; Pseudomonadati; Pseudomonadota; Alphaproteobacteria; Candidatus Pelagibacterales; Candidatus Pelagibacteraceae
Description: bacterial SSU rRNA
Rfam family: Bacterial small subunit ribosomal RNA
Source: RNAcentral